RNAcentral lists this transfer RNA (72 nucleotides) under Toxocara canis (dog roundworm). It matches the Rfam family "tRNA". From Rfam's summary of the family: Transfer RNA (tRNA) molecules are approximately 80 nucleotides in length. Lineage: Eukaryota; Metazoa; Nematoda; Chromadorea; Rhabditida; Toxocaridae. The record is from Rfam by way of RNAcentral.
GUGGCAGUAGCUCAGUGGUAGAGGUUCUGCUUCGUACGCGGGAAUACCUGGGUUCGGUUCCCGGCUGCUUCC